GAGUUUGAUCCUGGCUCAGAACGAACGCUGGCGGCGCGCCUAACACAUGCAAGUCGAACGAGCGAGAGAGAGCUUGCUUUCUCGAGCGAGUGGCGAACGGGUGAGUAACGCGUGAGGAACCUGCCUCAAAGAGGGGGACAACAGUUGGAAACGACUGCUAAUACCGCAUAAGCCCACAGCUCGGCAUCGAGCAGAGGGAAAAGGAGCAAUCCGCUUUGAGAUGGCCUCGCGUCCGAUUAGCUAGUUGGUGAGGUAAUGGCCCACCAAGGCGACGAUCGGUAGCCGGACUGAGAGGUUGAACGGCCACAUUGGGACUGAGACACGGCCCAGACUCCUACGGGAGGCAGCAGUGGGGAAUAUUGCACAAUGGGGGAAACCCUGAUGCAGCGACGCCGCGUGGAGGAAGAAGGUCUUCGGAUUGUAAACUCCUGUUGUUGAGGAAGAUAAUGACGGUACUCAACAAGGAAGUGACGGCUAACUACGUGCCAGCAGCCGCGGUAAAACGUAGGUCACAAGCGUUGUCCGGAAUUACUGGGUGUAAAGGGAGCGCAGGCGGGAAGACAAGUUGGAAGUGAAAUCUAUGGGCUCAACCCAUAAACUGCUUUCAAAACUGUUUUUCUUGAGUAGUGCAGAGGUAGGCGGAAUUCCCGGUGUAGCGGUGGAAUGCGUAGAUAUCGGGAGGAACACCAGUGGCGAAGGCGGCCUACUGGGCACCAACUGACGCUGAGGCUCGAAAGUGUGGGUAGCAAACAGGAUUAGAUACCCUGGUAGUCCACACCGUAGACGAUGAUUACUAGGUGUUGGAGGAUGGACCCCUUCAGUGCCGCAGUUAACACAAUAAGUAAUCCACCUGGGGAGUACGACCGCAAGGUUGAAACUUAAAGGAACUGACGGGGGCCCGCACAAGCAGUGGAGUAUGUGGUUUAAUUCGACGCAACGCGAAGAACCUUACCAAGUCUUGACAUCCCUUGACGAACAUAGAAAUAUGUUUUCUCUUCGGAGCAAGGAGACAGGUGGUGCAUGGUUGUCGUCAGCUCGUGUCGUGAGAUGUUGGGUUAAGUCCCGCAACGAGCGCAACCCUUACUGUCAGUUACUACGCAAGAGGACUCUGGCAGGACUGCCGUUGACAAAACGGAGGAAGGUGGGGAUGACGUCAAAUCAUCAUGCCCUUUAUGACUUGGGCUACACACGUACUACAAUGGCGUUAAACAAAGAGAAGCAAGACCGCGAGGUGGAGCAAAACUCAGAAACAACGUCCCAGUUCGGACUGCAGGCUGCAACUCGCCUGCACGAAGUCGGAAUUGCUAGUAAUCGUGGAUCAGCAUGCCACGGUGAAUACGUUCCCGGGCCUUGUACACACCGCCCGUC
This 1368-nucleotide ribosomal RNA is filed under the name uncultured bacterium. RNAcentral describes it as "bacterial SSU rRNA". It matches the Rfam family "Bacterial small subunit ribosomal RNA". The record is from RNAcentral.